ACGGUAACAGGGGAGCUUGCUCCCGCUGACGAGUGGCGAACGGGUGAGUAAUGCAUCGGAACGUGCCGAAUAGUGGGGGAUAACGCACCGAAAGGUGUGCUAAUACCGCAUACGCCCUGAGGGGGAAAGUGGGGGACCGCAAGGCCUCACGCUAAUCGAGCGGCCGAUGUCGGAUUAGCUAGUUGGUGGGGUAAAGGCUCACCAAGGCGACGAUCCGUAGCGGGUCUGAGAGGAUGAUCCGCCACACUGGGACUGAGACACGGCCCAGACUCCUACGGGAGGCAGCAGUGGGGAAUUUUGGACAAUGGGGGAAACCCUGAUCCAGCCAUGCCGCGUGUCUGAAGAAGGCCUUCGGGUUGUAAAGGACUUUUGUCCGGGAGGAAACCCUGAUCGUUAAUAGCGGUCGGGACUGACAGUACCGGAAGAAUAAGCACCGGCUAACUACGUGCCAGCAGCCGCGGUAAUACG
RNAcentral lists this ribosomal RNA (468 nucleotides) under uncultured Microvirgula sp. RNAcentral describes it as "bacterial SSU rRNA". It matches the Rfam family "Bacterial small subunit ribosomal RNA", at positions 66 to 527 of the family's 1533-position model. The record is from RNAcentral. Lineage: Bacteria; Pseudomonadati; Pseudomonadota; Betaproteobacteria; Neisseriales; Aquaspirillaceae.